GAACUGCGAUAAGUAAUGUGAAUUGCAGAAUUCAGUGAAUCAUCGAGUCUUUGAACGCACAUUGCGCCCCCUGGCAUUCCGGGGGGCAUGCCUGUCCGAGCGUCAUUGCUGCCCUUCAAGCCCGGCUUGUGUGUUGGGUCGUCGUCCCCUCCGGGGGACGGGCCCGAAGGCAGCGGCGGCACCGCGUCCGGUCCUCGAGCGUAUGGGGCUUUGUCACCCGCUCGAUAAGGACCGGCCGGGCGCCAGCCGGCGUCUCCAACCUUUUUUUCUCAGGUUGACCUCGGAUCAGGUAGGGAUACCCGCUGAACUUAAGC
RNAcentral lists this unclassified non-coding RNA (314 nucleotides) under plant metagenome. Its description in RNAcentral is "partial contains 5.8S ribosomal RNA, internal transcribed spacer 2, and large subunit ribosomal RNA". The stretch from base 1 to 105 matches the Rfam family "5.8S ribosomal RNA", at positions 50 to 154 of the family's 154-position model. The record is from RNAcentral.